Molecule: long non-coding RNA, 1090 nt
Filed under: Nicotiana benthamiana
Lineage: Eukaryota; Viridiplantae; Streptophyta; Magnoliopsida; Solanales; Solanaceae
Description: long non-coding RNA (NBEN_LNC035347)
Source: RNAcentral
AUAUAUAUAUAUAUAUAUAUAUACACUAUUUCCAACACUAUAUGCAUUAAAGUAUGAUUUUGUCUUACCAUUUCAGCCCACCAUUUAGCAGAUGAAAAAUCCAUCUCGGCUUUAGAUCUUUCCAAUCUAUAGUUCUAUACAUAGAUUCCAAUCACAAACAGUAUUUAGUAACAUAGAGAUUUGGGGGAACAUAUACAAAGGGGAUCAAUCAUUAAUUGAAAAGCGGCGGAAGCGUACCUUAUUUAGAGCAAAAGGCUUUUUCAGUUUCAGCUGGUAUCUGUCAGAUCAAGUACAGAAAAUUCUUGUGUCUUUAUCUGUCUUUAUACUUUAUUGAAUCAAAGAGUUGACUGCAAAAAUAGGCAGAAAGAAAACAAAAGAGAAAAAAAAAAGGUGGAAUAUCCCUCAAUUAUUAUGUUCUCUCUAUAUCUCUAUGUUGUUAAAGAAAUGGGCAGAAGAAAAAGGUGGAAUACCCCUCAAUUAUUAUAUUCUCUUUAUCUUAUUUUAUUACAAAAAUGGUUCUAGUUCAAACCAAAAAGUUAAUUCAAAAAAAUGAGAGUUAUUCAAAACAUAUUGAGAGAUCAUCCAUCCUCUUCGCUAUCGAUGUCAGACUCUUCAACAGCACACCGCACGCCGAGGGGUGAACAUAUGAAGCGAACAAUAUAAUAUGGAUUAAUAUAGGAUUGGGAUGAGUUCUAAUCAGAUCAUAUUAAAGAAAUACUUGAUAUUACACCUAAUUUAACUCCAAAAACUAACUUAACUUAAAUGAGUAUUAUUCAAAGCAUAUUAAAGAGGUGGAACAUCCCAUGUGGGACUCUUCAAUGUAUGUUUAUUACUUCUUUGGGAAUAUUUCCACUACUUAAAAUAAUAAACGUGUGAAAAAUUUAAGGAUGGAACCCUUUGUUUUUCGGUUUCUAUCUCUAUUCUUAUUCCUCUGAGUCUCCGAGUUGUAUUACUUAUAUUUUUUACCAUCCCCCUCGUCCCUCAGGUACACAGCUCCAUAAGGACUAAGGCUUCAAUUUUGAAACCCGUCUGAAUCUGAGUCUUUUUCGUGUAGCACUUUGAAUAAUUUUGUUAUCGAUUUAACUUAAUA